ACUGUCAAAUUCGGAUAUGAUGUACAACAUAAUCUCACUAUAACUUUGGUAAUCAGGAAAGAACAAAAUAAAUCUCAGAAAUAUGAACUUUGAAGAUGUUUAGUUCCUUCAGUUAAAGAGAGUGUCUCUCUCUGUUCCAGCCUCCUGCCAUAAAGUUUUACGACUUGUUAUCUGAUCUGUGGAAUGCAGAGACGUCUCCGGCUGAGGGUCUCCUAAAGCUGAAAAGGGAUUUUAGCAUGAAAGUUCAUUAAACAAGACAUCCAUAGUAUAUAAUUGAAAGUCAUUGUCUUUUAAAAAGAAAAAGUUAUUCCAGGAGUUUAAAUGUUCACAGGAGCUCCAUCCUUCUGUGAAUGAAAACCUACAGAAAUACAAAUGUCUCAAUCUUCUUAUAGAGAUGGGUGUUGGUCAGUGCUGGAGAGGGACAGCUUAUCUGAGUUUUGAUCAGCUCAGGAAUUCCAGGGCCUUUGCAGUAUUCCUACAGUAUGGAAGCCUGAAUGGAAGUCCAUCUUCUGUCCUCCAUCUGCAGAUGAAACACUAAGAUUACAGAUAGAAUUAUUCUAGAUUGAAAGUGUGCAGGUGUGAGAGAGGCUGAUGAGAAUUCAGUUUGAUGUCAAACAGUCAGAGAAGAUCAGCUAAAUAACUAUAUGUCCAACAGGACCAGUCCAGAUGUUCUUCUAUCAAAUGCAUGAAGGAAAUAUAACGUGUCCUUUUUCAUAAUAACAUGUUUUGACAUUUAUGUGUCAUAACAGACUUUCUGACUGUGGACUCUCAGAGAGUCACUGUGAAGUCUUGGCCUCAGCUCUGAAGGCCAACCCCUCCCAUCUGAUAGAUCUGAACCUGACCUUGAACAUCCUGCUGGAUUCAGGAGUGAAGCAUCUUUCUGCUGGACUGCAAAGUCCAAACUGUAAACUGGAGACUCUCAGAAUGGAGAGCUGCUGGUUGUCAGAGAUCAGCUGUGAUUCUCUGAUCUCAGCUCUGAAGUCCAACCCCUCACAUCUUAAACAUCUGGACCUGAGCAGGAACGACCUGAAGGAUUCAGGAGUGAAACAUCUGAGUGGUUUUGUGGAGAGUCCAGACUGCAUCCUGAAGACUCUGAGAUUGAUUCGCUGCAGUUUGUCAGAGAUCAGCUGUGAUUCUCUGGUCUCAGCUCUGAAGUCCAACCCCUCCCAUCUGGAACAUCUGGACCUGAGCUACAACAACCUUCAGGAUUCAGGAGUGAAACAUCUGAGUGGUUUUGUGGAGAGUCCAGGCUGCAUCCUGAAGACUCUGAGAUUGAGGUACUGCAGUUUGUCAGAGAUCAGCUGUGAUUCUCUGGUCUCAGCUCUGAAGUCCAACCCCUCUCAUCUGGAACAUCUGGACCUGAGCUACAACAACCUGAAGGAUUCAGGAGUGAAACAUCUGAGUGUUUUUUUGGAGAGUCCAGACUGCAUCCUGAAGACUCUGAGAUUGAUUCACUGCAAGUUGUCAGAGAUCAGCUGUGAUUCUCUGGUCUCAGCUCUGAAGUCCAACCCCUCCCAUCUGGAACAUCUGAACCUGAACGAAAACAACCUGCAGGAUUCAUCAGUGAAACAUCUGUUAGAUCUUAAGGAGAGUCCAGACUGCAUCCUGAAGACUCUGAGCUGGAAGUGAUGCUGAUCAGGACGGUGUUUGUGCUGAGAGGAUGAAGUGUGUCCUGAUGAUCCAGAGGUUGAAGCAGCAGCAGCAGCUGGUGUGUAGAGACUCUGACUGGACCAUGUUACUGGGAGGUGGACUGGGAACCAGUAUGAAGUGUGUUGUUCCUGUAUAGUUUAGUGUUGCAGCUCCACACUGUUAAUGAUGGAGAAGUUCAGUUAAUGUUGACUUGAUCCGUUGGAGGUUGAUGUCAGGUUGCAGAGUGUGCAGGAAGUUUCAGGAUGUUUCCACUCUGACUGAUAUCUGCCCACUUGGAGCCUCAAUUCCAGGUUUUCAGCCCUUGGUCUGUUUGUGGGAAUGUUCCAGCGUUAUCUUUUAGUUUUGUCCUCACAUUAGCAUGACGUCAUGGUUGGUAAUGAUUCAAUCUGACCUUUAUUAACACAUAAUCGUGAAACACAUCCUGACUCAGCUUGUAAAUAACACUCAGGGCCUUUAGGUGUUUAAUCAGGACUUUUCCAGCACAUAUUAGUUUUUGCUUGAAAUGAAAUGUCCUGAAAAUUCCACAGCAGGUGUUUCUCCUGUUUGUAGCUUUAGUUGUGGGCAGUGAGUGUAGGUGAGUCCAAGCAGGGUUUUCAUUUGGACUUUUAUCUGCUCAACGUAGGAGAGUUCAGUUUGGUUCUAACUUGUAAUCAGAAAUCUUCUUGUAGUUUCUCUUCAUUUCUUUUCAGUAGCAUCCGUCGCCCUCCGUUGCUCCUUUUUCUGUCUCCUGUGUUGUUUGAUUUGUGUUAACUCAACAACUUUCUUCAAUAAAUCAGUCAUCUUUGGUUCA
Acanthochromis polyacanthus (spiny chromis) is the source of this 2440-nucleotide RNA transcript. It is a transcript of the gene named ribonuclease inhibitor-like, with no coding region annotated. Lineage: Eukaryota; Metazoa; Chordata; Actinopteri; Pomacentridae. The record is from RefSeq and is a predicted model, not a curated record. The transcript has 7 exons.